AAAAAUAUAGCUGAAGUGGAGCUUAUUGAGUUCCUUCAAUGGCCCCUUUAGAGAUUUGAGCUUCCUGCAAAGAGUACACAUGAGAGUGCCAUAGACAGAAAUAUACCAAUUUCUAGAGACAAUCUCCAUAAAGGUUCCUAAAAUCUUUGAUCAAACAAGAUGAGGCUAAAGAAAUUACUUAACGCAGAUCCAUUAUGUAGAAGCAUAAUUGACUCCACUCCGGAUUGACUAAAAAGAAGACAUGGGUCAACAGAAGUUCACACUGAUUUAGUCAGUGGAUUUUGACUCAAUGCUAAUGACCCUGUACAGUCAAGCAACCAAUUAAAUAGUUCCUUAAAAUUAUAAACAUCAAUUAAACUGUUGGCUUUAGAUUAAACCACCUCUUCCUACGAGCAUUCACUUCACUAUCAAUGUUGCUUGUCAUUGUCAUGUAGAAAUAAAACCUACCACUAACAAAUGGAAUGGAACUGUUUCGGGCAGACAAACUGUACUUGGUCUUAAAUUAAUAUGCUGUUUUUUGCGAAGUAUAUUUUCACAUCCAAGCUUGAUGAUAAAAAAAGAAAGAAAAAAAAAAGAGUAGCAAUGAAAUACUUUCCCAUGCUUCUAUUCUGCUCCUCUUUGUUGUUAAUCAUAGAAAGUUCCACUGCAAUUGAUACCAUAAAUACAACUCAGCUUGUUAGAGAAGGUGAUACCAUUGUUUCAGCAGGCGGAACCUAUGAAUUAGGUUUUUUCAGCCCAGGUAAAUCGAAAAACCGGUACUUGGGGAUAUGGUACAGCAAAAUAUCUGUGCAGACUGCAGUUUGGGUUGCCAACAGAGAAACUCCACUUAAUGACUCAUCAGGAGUAAUUUUAAGGCUUACCAACCAAGGAAUCCUUGUUCUUCUCAAUCGGAGUGGGAGCUUGAUAUGGUCUUCUAACAUAUCGAGACCUGCGAAGAAUCCAGUUGCACAGCUUUUGGAUUCAGGAAAUCUUGUUGUGAAAGAGGAGGGUGAUGAUAACUUGGAAAAUUCCUUGUGGCAGAGUUUUGAACAUCCAGGUGAUACGUUCAUGCCAGACAUGAAGCAAGGACGGAAUAGAAUAACAGGCAUGGACUGGUACAUGACAUCAUGGAAGUCACCUGAUGAUCCUUCCAGAGGUAAUAUUACAUAUAUACUUGUUCCUUAUGGAUAUCCUGAGAUUCUUGUGAUGGAGGAUUCGAGGGUGAAGUAUCGGUCUGGUCCAUGGAAUGGUAUGCGGUUCAGCGGGACGCCUCAUUUAAAACCAAAUCCCGUAUACACAUUUGGAUUUGUUUUUAACGACAAGGAGAUAUUUUACAGAUAUCAUCUUCUUAAUAGCUCUAAACUUUGGAGGGUCGUGGCAAGUCAGAAUGGUGAUAUCACGAACUUUGUUUGGGUUGAUAAAACACAAAGUUGGCUGCUUUAUGGCACAGCAAAUACAGAUAAUUGUGAACGCUAUUCACUAUGCGGUGCGAAUGGCAUCUGUAGUAUAAGCAACUCUCCAGUGUGUGAUUGCUUGAAUGGAUUUGUUCCAAAAAUUAAAAAAGACUGGGAUGCAAUGGAUUGGUCAAGUGGCUGUGUUAGAAAGAUUCCUCUAAAUUGCUCUGGAGAUGAGUUUCGAAAGCUGUCUGGUGCCAAGUUGCCUGAGACAAAAACAUCAUGGUUCAACAAGAGUAUGAAUCUUGAGGAGUGCAAGAGCACAUGCUUGAAGAAUUGCAGCUGCACCGCAUAUUCAAAUUUGGACAUCAGGGAUGGAGGAAGUGGGUGCUUGCUCUGGUUUGGUGACCUGAUUGAUAGUAGAAUUUUCAUUGAAAAUGAGCAAGACAUUUAUAUACGGAUGGCUGCAUCAGAACAAGGUAUGAAUUUAUCCUCAGACUAGAAAAGGCAGUAUCUAUUACUUAUCGAUUAUAGGAACUUGUAGUAUGUUAUAAAUUAAGAUUAUCUUCCAAAAUCAUGUUUAAAUAUUAAGCUAAGCAAAAGCUAAGAUGGGAAAUCAACUGCUUGAGAAGAAUAUGUCCCGCUGAGAGUGUUCUGUAAACAAGUAUACUUGUGUUACCCUGUGUAAAUAGCAUGAUAACUUAGCAUUCAUAGCUCAUUAUCGAAUUUGCAUAGAAGAUCUUGAAAUAUAAUAAAAUCAACGCCUAGACAUAUCACUUGGUAAUAUGAUGGAGGAUUACCUGACCAGAGCUAAUGUAAAUUUUCCAGCCAUGCUACCUAAUUAACGAAGACUAGGCCUUUUUUUGGCAUUUAAUUAGUCUUUUGAUUCCCCAUCUCUCUGCGAUUCUGUAGAUGAUGGUGAUGCUGCAAAGGUUAAUGCUAAAUCCAAUGUGAAGAGAAGGAUCAUGGUAAGCACUGCGUUGUCUACAGGAGUUCUGGUACUUAUCGUAGCAGUGGUCUUGUAUGUUUGGAAAAGGAAGCAGCAGAAAAACAGUAAGUUAUUCACACCAUAUGAAAGUCUAAGUUCUUCUAUCCCUCUCCUUCAAUUUCGAAAAACACAUUUUAGUUCGUUUUCCAAUUUGAUUUUAGCAAGCUAUGGUACAUCCACAAAAUAUUAAGAGCUCAUUAUCUUUUACGUCUUAAGUAAAUUUGAGUUUAACAGAAAUUAGUGAUCCCUUGUUUCUUUUCUAUUUCUACCAAUUCUGCUUGCAGGAAACAUAUCAGGUGGUUUGGGAAGAAGUUCAAAUUACAAGCACAAGAAAGAAGCUCUGGAAUUACCGGUGUUUGAUUUUGAUACCAUGGCUUUUGCAACCAGAAACUUUUCAGACGAAAAUAAACUGGGAGAAGGGGGCUUUGGACUUGUUUAUAAGGUACUAAUCUGAAAAAUGGCAAUGCUGUUUUUCGGCAUUAACUAGUUCUCCGGUAUUAAUUUCUUUGGAAAUAUUCAACCACUGGAUAGACCAUUUUUCAAGUGCAAAACAACAACCAUUUGGCAACUGUUCCAACAGACCACAGUAGUAUUCUCAAAAUUUUCAAGACAAUGUACGACCUAAUUUGCUUGUGAUAUUCACUGAUCAUUUUCAGGGGACUUUGAAAGAUGGACGAGAAAUGGCUGUGAAGAGGCUCUCUAAGAAUUCAAGACAAGGACUUGACGAGUUCAAAAAUGAAGUCAAGAAUAUUGUGAAGCUUCAGCACCGGAAUCUCGUGAAGCUUCUAGGAUGUUGCAUUGAAGGAGAGGAAAAGAUGUUGAUCUACGAGUUUUUGCCUAACAAAAGCUUGGACUUCUUUAUUUUCGGUUAGGAUUUCUCAACCUGCAAAAAUAUAGCUCAAUUAUUAUACUCGAUUGUUUUCAUUAUCCAAACACCAGAACCAACUCUAUGUAGUAUUAUAGAUCAAUUAGAACACAACUUUGAGGAGAAAGUGCGAACCAAAAGCACCAAAAACAAACAUUUGUUGAGUUUCAUUCAAGCCCCUUAGGAAAAUGGCUUGGUGAGGAAGAAUUUUCUCCACUUUCUCGGAGAGAAAUUAAGCGAGUGUUCAUUAUGCAUCAUGUUUUUUUCUUAUUCUUGUAUAUACAUUUAUGAAUUGAUAAAAACCAGAAUGGAUUGGCUUUGGUAAAAACAAUUGGGCAGAUGAAGCAAAAAGCUUACUUCUAGAUUGGCCUCAGCGCUGCCACAUUAUCAAUGGGAUUGCUUGUGGACUCCUUUACCUUCAUCAAGAUUCAAGAUUAAGAGUAAUUCAUAGAGAUCUGAAAGCCAGCAAUGUUUUAUUAGAUAACGAGAUGAAUCCAAAAAUUUCAGACUUUGGCCUGGCUAGAUGUUUUGGAGGAAAUGAAACUGAAGCCAACACAAACAAAGUGGCUGGUACAUAGUAAGUCUAUCAAGCAUCUCUAAUUUAUUUCUAUUGCCCACAAAUGCAAUCUAACACUAACAUUCUGUGUACGUACAGUGGCUACAUAUCCCCAGAGUACGCAAAUUAUGGACUCUACUCGCUAAAAUCUGAUGUCUUCAGCUUUGGUGUAUUGGUGCUAGAGAUAGUAAGUGGGUACAGGAACAGAGGAUUCUGCCACCCAGACCACCAACUCAACCUUCUUGGGCAUGUAAGUGUCAUAAUUGUUGCAUUUUCUUGUUUUCUGAAACCACAUUUCUUUGUUUCAAAUGACGUGGUUAAAUUUCAAAAAUCAGGCUUGGAGACUGUUUAAAGAAGGCAGGCAUGUGGAGCUGGUUGGGGGAUUAAUAUUUGAAACUUGCAAAUUAUCUGAAGUUCUACGGUCGAUUCACAUAGGUCUAUUAUGUGUGCAAGAAAAUGCAAAAGAUAGGCCGAACAUGUCACAGGUGGUUUUGAUGCUGGGUAAUGAAGAUGAAUUGCCUCAGCCUAAACAUCCAGGUUUUUUUACUGGAAGGGAUCUUAUUGAAGCAAGCCAUUCAUUAAGUCAGAACAAACCAUGUUCUGCAAACGGAUGCUCGGUCUCCCUGUUAGAGGCACGGUAGAUUUGUAUCUGCCAUGUAUUUGCAGAAACUUUUAGUUGCUUCUAGCUUCUUCUUCUUUUUAUCAGCAUAAAAAUAAUGUACUUUGUUCAAGCACAACUUUAUGCAUCAGCAAUGAAGCUCAAAAUUGUCAGACAUUUGGAUUAAGUGCACAGGAAAGUAAUUGAAGAAAGAGCAAAAAAAUUAUAAUACUCCUACUAGCGUACUAGGCAUGUACGUUAACAUCUAGAAAGCAAGGAGGGAGAUCUCAAAUGGAGUAAAAAACCAAAAAUUAUGCUUGCAUAUAUCUAAAGAGAAAAAUCACAUGCCACCACUGGAAAUGACAACAAUAAGAGGCAAACACAAAUUUCAAGAAUUGGAGCUUGAAGGUAUUUACCUUUAUAGUGGCACAUUUGUAGUCUGUAGAGUUAGCUUCAAUUCCUUUCUGGGUUCGCAUUAAGGAGCGUGUGUGCUGUGCCCAUUUGAGAGGCUAAAAUGGAUGCCUUGGUACUUAGUAUUUGCAUUGCAAAAUCUCUGCACGCCGUGACACCGUUUCUCGUUGAGGAUUUUCGUCGAACACUUGCUGAAUCAAAAUAGUGAUCAGACGCUUUCAAUGGGUUGGGUGGACAAAAUGUUAAGACCAAGAACAAGGUCCAAAAGGCAAGUAUAAGCGCUUAACGAGUGGUGCAAGACCUGGAAAGAGCCUGCAGUGAGAGGUUAGCAAUUGCAUCAUUAAAAAUUCAUCGAAUGGGUUUGUAGUGUCUGUUACCGAUGAGGUUUUUAAUUUGCCAUGCUGUUUUUCUUAUAUACAAUAACUAAUAAAUAGAACCAUGUAUUAUUAUUUUUUCUAUCAUUUGAUGAACUUAAAUAUCAAAUAGAAAUACAUAUUUACUCAUUUAAACAUACUUAUUCAAAAUAAUUAAUUUUAAACUAGAAUUAUUCAUUAAAUUUAUUUCAAAA
RNAcentral lists this long non-coding RNA (5359 nucleotides) under Populus trichocarpa (black cottonwood). Its description in RNAcentral is "long non-coding RNA (PTRI_LNC000422)". Lineage: Eukaryota; Viridiplantae; Streptophyta; Magnoliopsida; Malpighiales; Salicaceae. The record is from RNAcentral.